Molecule: ribosomal RNA, 446 nt
Filed under: uncultured bacterium
Lineage: Bacteria
Description: partial 16S ribosomal RNA
Rfam family: Bacterial small subunit ribosomal RNA
Source: RNAcentral
AACGAACGCUGGCGGCAGGCUUAACACAUGCAAGUCGAACGCCCCGCAAGGGAAGUGGCAAACGGUGGAGUAACGCGUGGGAAUCUCCCUUUUGCUACGGGAUAGCUCCGGGAAACUGGAAUUAAUACCGUAUUAGCCCACCUGGGUAAUGAGUACCGGCAAAGGAUUAGCCCGCGUUGGAGUAGCUAGUUGGUGGGAUAAAGGCCUACCAAGGCGACGAGCCAUAGCUGGUCUGAGAGGAUGAUCAGCCAGCUUGGGACUGAGACACUGCCCAAACGCCUACGGGAGGCAGAAGUGGGGAAUAUUGGACAAUGGGAGCAAGCCUGAUCCAGCAAUGCCGCGUGGGUGAUGAAGGUCUUAGGAUUGUAAAGCUCUUUCACCGGGGACGAUAAUGACGGUACCCGGAGAAGAAGGCCCGGCUAACUUCGUGCCAGCCGCCGCGGUAA